RNAcentral lists this ribosomal RNA (897 nucleotides) under Daldinia fissa. RNAcentral describes it as "LSU rRNA". It matches the Rfam family "Eukaryotic large subunit ribosomal RNA", at positions 37 to 960 of the family's 3401-position model. Lineage: Eukaryota; Fungi; Ascomycota; Sordariomycetes; Xylariales; Hypoxylaceae. The record is from RNAcentral.
GGCAUAUCAAUAAGCGGAGGAAAAGAAACCAACAGGGAUUGCCCUAGUAACGGCGAGUGAAGCGGCAACAGCUCAAAUUUGAAAUCUGGCCCUAGCGGUCCGAGUUGUAAUUUGUAGAGGAUGCUUUUGGUUAGGUGCCUUCCGAGUUCCCUGGAACGGGACGCCGGAGAGGGUGAGAGCCCCGUACGGUUGGACACCGAGCCUCUAUAUAGCUCCUUCGACGAGUCGAGUAGUUUGGGAAUGCUGCUCUAAAUGGGAGGUAAAUUUCUUCUAAAGCUAAAUACCGGCCAGAGACCGAUAGCGCACAAGUAGAGUGAUCGAAAGAUGAAAAGUACUUUGAAAAGAGGGUUAAAUAGCACGUGAAAUUGUUGAAAGGGAAGCGUUUGCGACCAGACUUUUUCUAGGCGGAUCAUCCGGUGUUCUCACCGGUGCACUUCGCCUGGUUUAGGCCAGCAUCGGCUCUCUUAGGGGGAUAAAGGCCUGGGGAACGUAGCUCCUUCGGGAGUGUUAUAGCCCCUAGCGUAAUACCCUUCGGGGGGCCGAGGAACGCGCAUCUGCAAGGAUGCUGGCGUAAUGGUCGUCAACGACCCGUCUUGAAACACGGACCAAGGAGUCGAACAUUUGUGCGAGUGUUUGGGUGUUAAACCCUCACGCGUAAUGAAAGUGAACGGAGGUGAGAGCCCUUCGGGGUGCAUCAUCGACCGAUCCUGAUGUCUUCGGAUGGAUUUGAGUAAGAGCAUAACUGUUCGGACCCGAAAGAUGGUGAACUAUGCGUGGAUAGGGUGAAGCCAGAGGAAACUCUGGUGGAGGCUCGCAGCGGUUCUGACGUGCAAAUCGAUCGUCAAAUCUGCGCAUGGGGGCGAAAGACUUAUCGAACCAUCUAGUAGCUGGUUACCG